Molecule: ribosomal RNA, 253 nt
Filed under: uncultured bacterium
Lineage: Bacteria
Description: partial 16S ribosomal RNA
Rfam family: Bacterial small subunit ribosomal RNA
Source: RNAcentral
UACAGAGGGGGCAAGCGUUGUUCGGAAUUACUGGGCGUAAAGGGCGCGUAGGCGGCCCGCUAAGUCGAACGUGAAAUCCCCGGGCUCAACCCGGGAACUGCGUCCGAUACUGGCAGGCUUGAAUCCGGGAGAGGGAUGUGGAAUUCCAGGUGUAGCGGUGAAAUGCGUAGAUAUCUGGAGGAACACCGGUGGCGAAGGCGGCAUCCUGGACCGAGAUUGACGCUGAGGCGCGAAAGCCAGGGGAGCAAACGGG